Molecule: ribosomal RNA, 355 nt
Filed under: Proteus mirabilis
Lineage: Bacteria; Pseudomonadati; Pseudomonadota; Gammaproteobacteria; Enterobacterales; Morganellaceae
Description: partial 23S ribosomal RNA
Rfam family: Bacterial large subunit ribosomal RNA
Source: RNAcentral
CGGCGAGGGGAGUGAAAAAGAACCUGAAACCGUGUACGUACAAGCAGUAGGAGCCCCAUCACUCAAGUGCCUCGCACUGAGUGAUGCAAUAACAUCACCGAAAAUAGCGCCGAAUUUGCUGACAAGGUUGGUCGAUUUUUUCAAGCCGUCGCGCAGUGUACCUAGAAGUACACGAGCAACGGAAGUUAAAAAAUCGGGCAAGAUUGAACGCAAAGGCAAGCGGGACAUUUGAGGAUGGGGUGACUGCGUACCUUUUGUAUAAUGGGUCAGCGACUUAUAUUCUGUAGCAAGGUUAACCGCAUAGGGGAGCCGUAGGGAAACCGAGUCUUAACUGGGCGAAUGAGUUGCAGGGUAU